This is a regulatory RNA element of Halothermothrix orenii H 168, 99 nucleotides long. It matches the Rfam family "PyrR binding site". From Rfam's summary of the family: This family represents the PyrR binding site and terminator structure. This RNA structure is found upstream of a variety of genes involved in pyrimidine biosynthesis and transport. The alignment also includes a portion of the antiterminator structure. NCBI's taxonomy places the organism in Bacteria, Bacillati, Bacillota, Clostridia, Halanaerobiales, Halothermotrichaceae. The record is from Rfam.
UGACCCUUGAAAUCAGUCCCGUGAGGCUGAUAAGGGUGGUUGUUUAACACUGGAUAACCAUCUCCUUAUCAGUCUGUGGCUGGUAAGGAGUUUUUUUGU